AACGAACGCUGGCGGCAUGCCUAACACAUGCAAGUCGAACGAAACCUUCGGGUCUAGGGGCGCACGGGUGCGUAACGCGUGGGAACCUGCCCUUAGGGUCGGAAUAACUCCCCGAAAGGGAUGCUAAUACCGGAUAAUGUCUUCGAACCAAAGAUUUAUCGCCUUUGGAUGGGCCCAAGUUGGAUUAGCUAGUUGGUAGGGUAAAAGCCUACCAAGGCGACGAUCCAUAGCUGGUAUGAGAGGAUGAUCAGCCACACUGGGACUGAGACACGGCCCAGACUCCUACGGGAGGCAGCAGUGGGGAAUAUUGGACAAUGGGCGAAAGCCUGAUCCAGCAAUGCCGCGUGAGUGAUGAAGGCCUUAGGGUUGUAAAGCUCUUUUACCCGGGAUGAUAAUGACAGUACCGGGAGAAUAAGCUCCGGCUAACUCCGUG
This 433-nucleotide ribosomal RNA is filed under the name uncultured bacterium. RNAcentral's name for it is "partial 16S ribosomal RNA". It matches the Rfam family "Bacterial small subunit ribosomal RNA", at positions 29 to 507 of the family's 1533-position model. The record is from RNAcentral.